UUAAUAAGCGGAGGAAAAGAAACUAACAAGGAUUCCCUCAGUAACGGCGAGUGAAGCGGGAAGAGCUCAAAUUUGAAAUCUCCGAUGCCCGCAUCGGCGAGUUGUAGUUGCGAGAAGCACUUUCUAGGCGGAAUCGGCCCUGCCUAAGUUGCUUGGAACGGCACGUCGCAGAGGGUGACAACCCCGUCUGUGGCAGGGACGGCCGCCGACGAUGCGCUUUCGAAGAGUCGGGUUGUUUGGGAAUGCAGCCCAAAAGGGGUGGUAAACUCCAUCUAAAGCUAAAUACCGGCGUGAGACCGAUAGCGA
Molecule: ribosomal RNA, 306 nt
Filed under: Manicina areolata
Lineage: Eukaryota; Metazoa; Cnidaria; Anthozoa; Scleractinia; Faviidae
Description: eukaryotic LSU rRNA
Rfam family: Eukaryotic large subunit ribosomal RNA
Source: RNAcentral